Molecule: unclassified non-coding RNA, 514 nt
Filed under: Hevea brasiliensis (rubber tree)
Lineage: Eukaryota; Viridiplantae; Streptophyta; Magnoliopsida; Malpighiales; Euphorbiaceae
Source: RNAcentral
GGGUUAAAAAACUCUACAAAUAGGGCUAGGUUUCUCUUAUUCAUUAGUUUUGAUUAUGAUCAUUAUUGAAAAUAAGUAAAAUUUAUUUGAGAAUUAAUUUCUCUCAUUUCUUUGUUCUUGUUCUACAUCAGAAAGUGGCCAAAAAAUAAGCCAAAAAACUAAAAAAGAGGGAGAGAGGAUAAAGGAGAGAGACGUUCGACCAAUUUUGGUCAAUUGGAUAUUGUCAAUGAACCACUCAACCUUAAAAACUUAAGCUUUUAAGCGAGGACUUAAAGAAUAAUUUUGUAAAUUUAACACACCUUUUGCACGCGAAUGCUCACUAGGCUUAAAGAUGAAUAAGAGCAGAUCUACCUUGACCCUACCUUGUGCAGAAAUAAGGUAGUCAGGAUUUGAAUUUUAGACUUUUUGGUUUGAGAGGCUUGGAUACCAUAUCAAUAAACUACAAAAUGUAAAAGCUUAAGCUUUUAAGCGUGGAUAAACCUGCCUAAAAGGAGUGAACGAGUCAUGACCCCGG